This 131-nucleotide ribosomal RNA is filed under the name Ilyonectria destructans. RNAcentral describes it as "partial 18S ribosomal RNA". It matches the Rfam family "Eukaryotic small subunit ribosomal RNA", at positions 1703 to 1831 of the family's 1831-position model. Lineage: Eukaryota; Fungi; Ascomycota; Sordariomycetes; Hypocreales; Nectriaceae. RNAcentral also lists the same sequence under 1 other name. The record is from RNAcentral.
GAGGCGUCCGGACUGGCCCAGAGAGGUGGGCAACUACCCCUCAGGGCCGGAAAGCUCUCCAAACUCGGUCAUUUAGAGGAAGUAAAAGUCGUAACAAGGUCUCCGUUGGUGAACCAGCGGAGGGAUCAUUA